AGAGUUUGAUCCUGGCUCAGGAUGAACGCUGGCGGCGUGCCUAAUACAUGCAAGUCGAACGCUUUGUGGUUCAACUGAUUUGAAGAGCUUGCUCAGAUAUGACGAUGGACAUUGCAAAGAGUGGCGAACGGGUGAGUAACACGUGGGAAACCUACCUCUUAGCAGGGGAUAACAUUUGGAAACAGAUGCUAAUACCGUAUAACAAUGACAACCGCAUGGUUGUUAUUUAAAAGAUGGUUCUGCUAUCACUAAGAGAUGGUCCCGCGGUGCAUUAGCUAGUUGGUAAGGUAAUGGCUUACCAAGGCGAUGAUGCAUAGCCGAGUUGAGAGACUGAUCGGCCACAAUGGGACUGAGACACGGCCCAUACUCCUACGGGAGGCAGCAGUAGGGAAUCUUCCACAAUGGGCGAAAGCCUGAUGGAGCAACGCCGCGUGUGUGAUGAAGGGUUUCGGCUCGUAAAACACUGUUGUAAGAGAAGAAUGACAUUGAGAGUAACUGUUCAAUGUGUGACGGUAUCUUACCAGAAAGGAACGGCUAAAUACGUGCCAGCAGCCGCGGUAAUACGUAUGUUCCAAGCGUUAUCCGGAUUUAUUGGGCGUAAAGCGAGCGCAGACGGUUAUUUAAGUCUGAAGUGAAAGCCCUCAGCUCAACUGAGGAAUUGCUUUGGAAACUGGAUGACUUGAGUGCAGUAGAGGAAAGUGGAACUCCAUGUGUAGCGGUGAAAUGCGUAGAUAUAUGGAAGAACACCAGUGGCGAAGGCGGCUUUCUGGACUGUAACUGACGUUGAGGCUCGAAAGUGUGGGUAGCAAACAGGAUUAGAUACCCUGGUAGUCCACACCGUAAACGAUGAGUGCUAGGUGUUUGAGGGUUUCCGCCCUUAAGUGCCGCAGCUAACGCAUUAAGCACUCCGCCUGGGGAGUACGACCGCAAGGUUGAAACUCAAAGGAAUUGACGGGGACCCGCACAAGCGGUGGAGCAUGUGGUUUAAUUCGAAGCAACGCGAAGAACCUUACCAGGUCUUGACAUCCCUUGACAACUCCAGAGAUGGAGCGUUCCCUUCGGGGACAAGGUGACAGGUGGUGCAUGGUUGUCGUCAGCUCGUGUCGUGAGAUGUUGGGUUAAGUCCCGCAACGAGCGCAACCCUUAUUACUAGUUGCCAGCAUUCAGUUGGGCACUCUAGUGAGACUGCCGGUGACAAACCGGAGGAAGGUGGGGAUGACGUCAAAUCAUCAUGCCCCUUAUGACCUGGGCUACACACGUGCUACAAUGGCGUAUACAACGAGUUGCCAACCCGCGAGGGUGAGCUAAUCUCUUAAAGUACGUCUCAGUUCGGAUUGUAGGCUGCAACUCGCCUACAUGAAGUCGGAAUCGCUAGUAAUCGCGGAUCAGCACGCCGCGGUGAAUACGUUCCCGGGUCUUGCACACACCGCCCGUCA
Molecule: ribosomal RNA, 1436 nt
Filed under: uncultured bacterium
Lineage: Bacteria
Description: bacterial SSU rRNA
Rfam family: Bacterial small subunit ribosomal RNA
Source: RNAcentral